Molecule: long non-coding RNA, 323 nt
Filed under: Spirodela polyrhiza (greater duckweed)
Lineage: Eukaryota; Viridiplantae; Streptophyta; Magnoliopsida; Alismatales; Araceae
Description: long non-coding RNA (SPOL_LNC000503)
Source: RNAcentral
AGCCUUGGCAUUGUUGUGACCAUCCCUAUUGUAGGCCACAAAAUUCUCUUAAAGGUUUUCAGGCCACGUACCCAUCAAGAAAACUUUUGAUUCAAUCUGAUGCAAUCAAGAGAGAUUAAAAUUUGAUAAGUAUAAAUAUGGAAGAUAAGAAAUCCAUAAAACAUUGAAAAAGUACCAAAUUAAUAAUAUCAAGCUCAAGCAGCACAGAAUGGUAGCACUUGAUGUCCCAUGCAAUCCUCGAUUACCACCAAGGAGAUCUUUUUCAACAGCACUUUCACCAAUAAGAUUCCACCCUUCUCAAUUGUAGCAAUUUUUCAGAGACC